RNAcentral lists this ribosomal RNA (555 nucleotides) under uncultured Entrophospora. RNAcentral describes it as "SSU rRNA". It matches the Rfam family "Eukaryotic small subunit ribosomal RNA", at positions 548 to 1098 of the family's 1831-position model. Lineage: Eukaryota; Fungi; Glomeromycota; Glomeromycetes; Entrophosporales; Entrophosporaceae. The record is from RNAcentral.
UUGGAGGGCAAGUCUGGUGCCAGCAGCCGCGGUAAUUCCAGCUCCAAUAGCGUAUAUUAAAGUUGUUGCAGUUAAAAAGCUCGUAGUUGAAUUUCGGGAUUGACACAUCGGUCGUGCCUUAAGGGGUAUGAACUGGUGUAGUCAAUUUCUCACCUUCUGGAGAACCGCGAUGCCCUUAAUUGGGUGUCGCGGGGAACCAGGACCUUUACUUUGAAAAAAUUAGAGUGUUUAAAGCAGGCAUUUUGCUUGAAUACAUUAGCAUGGAAUAAUAAAAUAGGACGGCAUGAUUCUAUUUUGUUGGUUUCUAGGAUCACCGUAAUGAUUAAUAGGGAUAGUUGGGGGCAUUAGUAUUCAAUUGUCAGAGGUGAAAUUCUUGGAUUUAUUGAAGACUAACUACUGCGAAAGCAUUUGCCAAGGAUGUUUUCAUUAAUCAAAAACGAAAGUUAGGGGAUCGAAGACGAUCAGAUACCGUCGUAGUCUUAACCAUAAACUAUGCCGACUUGGAAUCAGACGAUGUUAAUUUUUUAAUGACUCGUUCGGCGCCUUACGGGAAAC